This 356-nucleotide ribosomal RNA is filed under the name uncultured Pelotomaculum sp. RNAcentral describes it as "bacterial SSU rRNA". It matches the Rfam family "Bacterial small subunit ribosomal RNA", at positions 1027 to 1382 of the family's 1533-position model. Lineage: Bacteria; Bacillati; Bacillota; Clostridia; Eubacteriales; Desulfotomaculaceae. The record is from RNAcentral.
CAGGGAGACAGGUGGUGCAUGGUUGUCGUCAGCUCGUGUCGUGAGAUGUUGGGUUAAGUCCCGCAACGAGCGCAACCCCUACGUUUAGUUGCUAACGCGUGAAGGCGAGCACUCUAGACGAACUGCCGUUGACAAAACGGAGGAAGGUGGGGAUGACGUCAAAUCAUCAUGCCCCUUAUGUUCUGGGCUACACACGUGCUACAAUGGCCGGUACAGACGGACGCAAAGCCGCGAGGUGGAGCAAAUCCUAAAAAGCCGGUCUCAGUUCGGAUUGCAGGCUGCAAUUCGCCUGCAUGAAGUCGGAAUCGCUAGUAAUCGCAGGUCAGCAUACUGCGGUGAAUACGUUCUCGGGGUUU